This 405-nucleotide ribosomal RNA is filed under the name uncultured bacterium. RNAcentral describes it as "partial 16S ribosomal RNA". It matches the Rfam family "Bacterial small subunit ribosomal RNA", at positions 28 to 526 of the family's 1533-position model. The record is from RNAcentral.
GACGAACGCUGGCGGCGUGCUUAACACAUGCAAGUCGAGCGGCGCGGCGAACGGGUGAGUAACGCGUGAGUAACUGCCCCCCUCUCUGGGUUAACAGUUGGAAACGGCUGCUCAUACCGGAUAGUGGGGGAUGGCUCGCGUCCUAUGAGCUUGUUGGUGGGGUAGUGGCCGACCAAGGGGCAGGCGGGUAGCCGGCCUGAGCGGGGGACCGGCCACAUGGGGCUGAGAUACGGACCAAACUGCUACGGGAGGCAGCAGUGGGGAAUAUGGCACAAUGGGGGAAACCCUGAGGCAGCAACGCCGGGUGCGGGAUGACGGCCUUCGGGUUGUAAACCGCUUUCAGCCAUGACGCGGUAGUGGAAGAAGAAGCACCGGCUAACUACGUGCCAGCCGCCGCGGUAAUAC